Molecule: ribosomal RNA, 517 nt
Filed under: uncultured bacterium
Lineage: Bacteria
Description: bacterial SSU rRNA
Rfam family: Bacterial small subunit ribosomal RNA
Source: RNAcentral
UUUGAUCAUGGCUCAGAUUGAACGCUGGCGGCAUGCCUUACACAUGCAAGUCGAACGGCAGCGCGGGCUUCGGCCUGGCGGCGAGUGGCGAACGGGUGAGUAAUGCAUCGGAACGUACCCAGUCGUGGGGGAUAACACAUCGAAAGAUGUGCUAAUACCGCAUACGUCCUGAGGGAGAAAGCGGGGGACCUUCGGGCCUUGCGCUAUCAGAUGAGCCUAGGUCGGAUUAGCUAGUUGGUGAGGUAAUGGCUCACCAAGGCGACGAUCCGUAACUGGUCUGAGAGGAUGAUCAGUCACACUGGAACUGAGACACGGUCCAGACUCCUACGGGAGGCAGCAGUGGGGAAUAUUGGACAAUGGGCGAAAGCCUGAUCCAGCCAUGCCGCGUGUGUGAAGAAGGUCUUCGGAUUGUAAAGCACUUUAAGUUGGGAGGAAGGGCAGUUACCUAAUACGUGAUUGUUUUGACGUUACCGACAGAAUAAGCACCGGCUAACUCUGUGCCAGCAGCCGCGGUAAU